This 24-nucleotide non-coding RNA is filed under the name Arabidopsis thaliana (thale cress). Lineage: Eukaryota; Viridiplantae; Streptophyta; Magnoliopsida; Brassicales; Brassicaceae. The record is from RNAcentral.
ACACACGAUCUACAAAAGAGCGGC